Molecule: unclassified non-coding RNA, 148 nt
Organism: Macaca mulatta (Rhesus monkey)
Lineage: Eukaryota; Metazoa; Chordata; Mammalia; Primates; Cercopithecidae
Rfam family: Metazoan signal recognition particle RNA
About the family: The signal recognition particle (SRP) is a universally conserved ribonucleoprotein.
Source: Ensembl
GCUGGGCGCGGUGGUGCAUGCCUGUAAUCUCAGCUACUCAGGAAGCUGAGGCAGGAGAAUCGCUUGAACCCAGGAGGCAGAGGUUGCAGUGAGCCGGGAUCACGCCACUGCACUCCAGCCUGGGUGACAGAGCGAGACUCCGUCUCAC